Molecule: small nuclear RNA, 107 nt
Organism: Bos mutus (wild yak)
Lineage: Eukaryota; Metazoa; Chordata; Mammalia; Artiodactyla; Bovidae
Source: Ensembl
GCUAAGCAACUGAACUGAACUGAAACUAAAAUUAGAAUGCCACAUGAAAACAAGCAUGACCUCAGCACAAGGAUGACAUGCAAAUCUGUGAUGCGUUCGGUAUUUUA